RNAcentral lists this ribosomal RNA (1390 nucleotides) under metagenome. RNAcentral's name for it is "bacterial LSU rRNA". It matches the Rfam family "Bacterial large subunit ribosomal RNA", at positions 1557 to 2925 of the family's 2925-position model. The record is from RNAcentral.
AACGAGCUGCCAAGGCUUCGGUCUGACGGUGAAGUGGUUGAUGCCAUGCUUCCAGGAAAAGCCUCUAAGCUUCAGGUAACAAGGGACCGUACCCCAAACCGACACAGGUGGUCAGGUAGAGAAUACCAAGGCGCUUGAGAGAACUCGGGUGAAGGAACUAGGCAAAAUGGUACCGUAACUUCGGGAGAAGGUACGCCGCUUGGGGUGAUCGGACUUGCUCCGUGAGCUCCGGGCGGUCGAAGUGACCAGGUGGCUGCGACUGUUUAUUAAAAACACAGCACUCUGCAAACACGAAAGUGGACGUAUAGGGUGUGACGCCUGCCCGGUGCCGGAAGGUUAAUUGAUGGGGUCAGCCGCAAGGCGAAGCUCUUGAUCGAAGCCCCGGUAAACGGCGGCCGUAACAAUAACGGUCCUAAGGUAGCGAAAUUCCUUGUCGGGUAAGUUCCGACCUGCACGAAUGGCGUAACGAUGGCCACACUGUCUCCACCCGAGACUCAGUGAAAUUGAACUCGCUGUGAAGAUGCAGUGUACCCGCGCUAGACGGAAAGACCCCGUGAACCUUUACUACAGCUUUGCACUGGACUCUGAAUCUGUUUGUGUAGGAUAGGUGGGAGGCUAUGAAGCCGGAACGCUAGUUCUGGUGGAGCCAACCUUGAAAUACCACCCUGACAUAUUUGGGGUUCUAACCCAGGCCCGUUAUCCGGGUCGGGGACAGUGUAUGGUGGGUAGUUUGACUGGGGCGGUCUCCUCCCAAAGAGUAACGGAGGAGCACGAAGGUACCCUCAGCGUGGUCGGAAAUCACGCUUUUGAGUGCAAAGGCAUAAGGGUGCUUGACUGCGAGAGCGACGGCUCGAGCAGGUGCGAAAGCAGGUCUUAGUGAUCCGGUGGUUCUGAAUGGAAGGGCCAUCGCUCAACGGGUAAAAGGUACUCCCGGGAUAACAGGCUGAUACCGCCCAAGAGUUCAUAUCGACGGCGGUGUUUGGCACCUCGAUGUCGGCUCAUCACAUCCUGGGGCUGAAGCCGGUCCCAAGGGUAUGGCUGUUCGCCAUUUAAAGUGGUACGCGAGCUGGGUUUAGAACGUCGUGAGACAGUUCGGUCCCUAUCUGCCGUGGGCGUUGGAGAUUUGAGGAAAGCUGCUCCUAGUACGAGAGGACCGGAGUGGACGAACCUCUGGUGUUCGGGUUGUCACGCCAGUGGCAUUGCCCGGUAGCUACGUUCGGACGGGAUAACCGCUGAAAGCAUCUAAGCGGGAAGCCUCUUCCAAGAUGAGAUCUCCCCGGGGACUCGAUCCCCCUGAAGGGUUGUUCAAGACCAGGACGUUGAUAGGUGGGGUGUGUAAGCGCUGUGAGGCGUUGAGCUAACCCAUACUAAUUGCCCGUGCGGCUUGACC